GCGGCGGGGGGUCGAGUCCUGCUGGCGGCGGGCGCCGACGACAUGGUGCGGUUGCCGCGGACACACCGCCGCCGACUGAGGCUGCCGCAGGCCGCCCUUGAUGCCGCCAUUGUGGAGGAAUGCGUGCGCUGGAUCCGCGACGUGUGCGCGGGCCGCGAGGACUGGGACGAGGCGGGGCAGGGGGCGCCGCCUGCGGGGGGCAGCGGCGCAGAGCCCACGGCCCCCGCGCCUCCCGCGCCUGAACACACGCGCGCUCGGCGCAGAGGUGACAAGCGGGGAACCGUGACGGCGGUGGCGGCGGCGGAGGACAACGGGUGCGGUGCCGGCGUGGCGGAAGGCGGUCCCCGCGCAGAGGCGACAGUAUGUCGCGUGGCGGGUGGAACCCCUCUGCCGUUGAGUGCGCCGCGCCGCGACCUUCGUGCCGCUGAUAUCAUGAGGCUGCCCAUCCUGUUUGCAGAUGACCUGCCCGCCGUGCAGCCGCCAGAGGAGAGCGCCACAUCGGCUGCCACCGCUGGGCCGUUGACGGUGCGUGGCGGCUCAAGCGGGCGGCUCAAGUACACGCGAGUCAUUGUGGCCAAGCGUGCCCCGCCCGCCGUGCUGCGCCGCUCGCCGACACAUUGACCACACCAACACCUGGCCGCUGCUCACGGUCAGCGGCGGAGCAAGCGGGCGGCUCAAGUACACGCGAGUCAUUGUGGCCAAGCGUGCCCCGCCCGCCGUGCUGCGCCGCUCGCCGACACAUUGACCACACCAACACCUGGCCGCUGCUCACGGUCAGCGGCGGAGCAAGCGGGCGGCUCAAGUACACGCGAGUCAUUGUGGCCAAGCGUGCCCCGCCCGCCGUGCUGCGCCGCUCGCCGACACAUUGACCACACCAACACCUGGCCGCUGCUCACGGUCAGCGGCGGAGCAAGCGGGCGGCUCAAGUACACGCGAGUCAUUGUGGCCAAGCGUGCCCCGCCCGCCGUGCUGCGCCGCUCGCCGACACAUUGACCACACCAACACCUGGCCGCUGCUCACGGUCAGCGGCGGAGCAAGCGGGCGGCUCAAGUACACGCGAGUCAUUGUGGCCAAGCGUGCCCCGCCCGCCGUGCUGCGCCGCUCGCCGACACAUUGACCACACCAACACCUGGCCGCUGCUCACGGUCAGCGGCGGAGCAAGCGGGCGGCUCAAGUACACGCGAGUCAUUGUGGCCAAGCGUGCCCCGCCCGCCGUGCUGCGCCGCUCGCCGACACAUUGACCACACCAACACCUGGCCGCUGCUCACGGUCAGCGGCGGAGCAAGCGGGCGGCUCAAGUACACGCGAGUCAUUGUGGCCAAGCGUGCCCCGCCCGCCGUGCUGCGCCGCUCGCCGACACAUUGACCACACCAACACCUGGCCGCUGCUCACGGUCAGCGGCGGAGCAAGCGGGCGGCUCAAGUACACGCGAGUCAUUGUGGCCAAGCGUGCCCCGCCCGCCGUGCUGCGCCGCUCGCCGACACAUUGACCACACCAACACCUGGCCGCUGCUCACGGUCAGCGGCGGAGCAAGCGGGCGGCUCAAGUACACGCGAGUCAUUGUGGCCAAGCGUGCCCCGCCCGCCGUGCUGCGCCGCUCGCCGACACAUUGACCACACCAACACCUGGCCGCUGCUCACGGUCAGCGGCGGAGCAAGCGGGCGGCUCAAGUACACAUUUGCCAUAGUGACCAAGCGCGCACCGGCCGCCGUGCUACGCCGCUCGCUAACACACUGACCACACCCUCUCACGGCCGCUGCCCACACUGAGCGGCGGCGCGCGCUGCCCGCUGACAAACUGACCGCACCCUUCCGGUGUCGACAUGGAACACACGGGGCGAAAAUACGCUGUAUUAUACGACUGUUUUUUUCAUAUAA
Long non-coding RNA from Leptidea sinapis, 1877 nucleotides. RefSeq lists it as uncharacterized. NCBI's taxonomy places the organism in Eukaryota, Metazoa, Arthropoda, Insecta, Lepidoptera, Pieridae. The record is from RefSeq and is a predicted model, not a curated record. The transcript has 6 exons.